GAGCUCAAAUUUAUAAUCUGGCACCUUCGGUGUCCGAGUUGUAAUCUCUAGAAGUGUUUUCCGCGUUGGACCGCACACAAGUCUGUUGGAAUACAGCGGCAUAGUGGUGAAACCCCCGUAUAUGGUGCGGACGCCCAGCGCUUUGUGAUACACUUUCAAUGAGUCGAGUUGUUUGGGAAUGCAGCUCAAAUUGGGUGGUAAAUUCCAUCUAAAGCUAAAUAUUGGCGAGAGACCGAUAGCGAACAAGUACCGUGAGGGAAAGAUGAAAAGCACUUUGGAAAGAGAGUUAACAGUACGUGAAAUUGUUGGAAGGGAAACGCUUGAAGUCAGACUUGCUUGCCGGAGCUUGCUUCGGUUUGCAGGCCAGCAUCAGUUUUCCGGGGUGGAUAAUAACGGUUUGAAGGUAGCAGUCUCGGCUGUGUUAUAGCUUUCCGUUGGAUACAUCCUGGGGGACUGAGGAACGCAGCGUGCUUUUUGCGAAAGACUCGUCUUUUUCACGCUUAGGAUGCUGGUGGAAUGGCUUUAAACGACCCGUCUUGA
RNAcentral lists this ribosomal RNA (540 nucleotides) under Rhodotorula glutinis. RNAcentral's name for it is "eukaryotic LSU rRNA". It matches the Rfam family "Eukaryotic large subunit ribosomal RNA", at positions 104 to 657 of the family's 3401-position model. The record is from RNAcentral. Lineage: Eukaryota; Fungi; Basidiomycota; Microbotryomycetes; Sporidiobolales; Sporidiobolaceae.